AGGAUAAUAGUUAAAAAUAACAUUUAAUUUGCAUUUAAAAAUUAUUGGACAAACCCAAUUUAUCUU
This 66-nucleotide transfer RNA is filed under the name Scolytus seulensis. RNAcentral describes it as "tRNA-Ala". It matches the Rfam family "tRNA". Rfam says of the family: Transfer RNA (tRNA) molecules are approximately 80 nucleotides in length. Their secondary structure includes four short double-helical elements and three loops (D, anti-codon, and T loops). Further hydrogen bonds mediate the characteristic L-shaped molecular structure. tRNAs have two regions of fundamental functional importance: the anti-codon, which is responsible for specific mRNA codon recognition, and the 3' end, to which the tRNAs corresponding amino acid is attached (by aminoacyl-tRNA synthetases). tRNAs cope with the degeneracy of the genetic code in two manners: having more than one tRNA (with a specific anti-codon) for a particular amino acid; and 'wobble' base-pairing, i.e. permitting non-standard base-pairing at the 3rd anti-codon position. Lineage: Eukaryota; Metazoa; Arthropoda; Insecta; Coleoptera; Curculionidae. The record is from RNAcentral.